AACGCGAAGAACCUUACCUGGGUUUGACAUCCUCUGACAAACGUAGAGAUACGUCUUCUGUAGCAAUACAGCAGAGAGACAGGUGCUGCAUGGCUGUCGUCAGCUCGUGUGGUGACAUGUUGGGUUAAGUCCCGCAACGAGCGCAACCCUUGUCCUUAGUUGCCAGCAUUCAGUUGGGCUCUCUAAGGAGACUGCCGUGGUUAACACGGAGGAAGGUGGGGAUGACGUCAAGUCCUCAUGGCCUUUAUAUCCAGGGCGACACACGUGAUACAAUGGUCGGUACAGAGGGAAGCGAAACCGCGAGGUGGAGCCAAUCUCAAAAAGCCGAUCUCAGUUCGGAUUGGAGUCUGCAAUUCGACUCCAUGAAGUUGGAAUCGCUAGUAAUCGCGGAUCAGCACGCCGCGGUGAAUACGUUCCCGGGCCUUGUACACACCGCAUAC
This 440-nucleotide ribosomal RNA is filed under the name uncultured bacterium. RNAcentral describes it as "bacterial SSU rRNA". It matches the Rfam family "Bacterial small subunit ribosomal RNA", at positions 958 to 1397 of the family's 1533-position model. The record is from RNAcentral.